UUACAUGGCGACCCUGCCAGUCCCUACGUGUCGCGCUAAAUUUUAAAAAUUUGUCAAAAAGAAAAAUUAAUGUGAAAAGUGGUUAAUUGAUCAAACAACAAUGGGAAAAGGCCAGUCGAAAGAAAGGGAGAAAAUAAUAAUCGCACAGUCAGGAAAUAGUGGAGGUACAAUGGCUAAUGGAAGUACGAGUACUGGGCUUUCCUUAAUUAAAGUUGUGGAAGUUGUGGCUGUAGCAGCAUUAGUAUUAGCCCUUGGCUGGUACUGUCUUAGAAGGUUAAGAAGAGCACUAAAAAGUUAAAUAGCAAGAGAGAUUGCAAGAAGCCAGCAGAUCGCGUAAGAAGGUAAAACUAGUUGUUCCACACCGGAGCCAGUACCGAGGGAACGUUUCUAGCAGUUGCGCAAUGCGGCUAGGGCGCAACGAGGGAUACCAACCUGUCAAUAUUAACAACCCCCGAACCCAAACAUUACAUGGCACACAUAGUUACAUGGCAACACAUUCCAUACAAUAACCCCAAUAGGAUAAGUUGAAACUUCAUGAGCAGGAAGAUGAACAGCAUAAAACGUUUAUUAACCUACUCGUGACGGUGCGAUGCGAGUCGCAGGCGGCGAUGAGUAUGCCGAGCUCGCCGAACUUGGAGGUGGCUAUGGAACAGUUGCGGGUGUUGGCACAAAUGUCGGGCCGACAAGGGGGCGCCGGGUGGUCGCCGCUGGACGUUCCAACAUACCGGCCGAAGCCGAAGACGCCCUUGGGCCCCACGAGAGUCCCAGAAGGCCACGUUCCGGAUUAUACUAUUCGCCUCCUGGUACCAGUUAUACCAUCGUGGAGCGACCUAGCUCUGCGUUACACCACCAUAGGGAAUAUAGGGAAAGGGAACACCAUUAUAGUUCAUUAAGUAGUCCUAGAGGCACCUAUUUGGGCUCUAACCCGAACUUUCAUAGUACGACAGGUGGUGGUUCUAGUUCGCGCACUCCGGCCAACAAUAAGAAACGACCGAUCUCGCCCGAACAAGUGCUUAGGUUGUUCGGAACGGGCAAUCAUGCGACUCCUAAGUCAAAUUCCGAUAGAUCCAGGAGGUCACCAGUGAGUAGUCCGCCGUCUGCUACGCAUAACUACAGGCCUCCGGUAUAUUCACCCUCGAUUCAUGAGCUAGCCACUAGAACUGUAAAUAUGGUCAGGGAUCCUCAGGAUCCUGGAUUUGGAAUUUGUGUUAAAGGAGGAAAAGAAGCUGGUGUUGGAGUAUAUAUAUCGAGGGUUGAAGAAGGUAGUGUAGCAGAACGAUCUGGGUUAAGACCAGGUGAUUCGAUAUUAGAAGUUAACGGGACUCCAUUUACUGGUAUCUCCCACGAGGAAGCCCUUAAGGUAAUAAAAAAUAUGUUAAAAUCCUGUCGAAAAAUCAGCAUGACGGUGCGCACCCCAAAUCUACCAGGAACGGGAUCGAUGGCGUGCAGUGGCGCCCCCUGGCAAAUGCGUCAGACAUGCUCAUGGAUGGAUAGACAUGGUCGGCCCGUGUCUCCACCUCUGGAAUAUUCUAGGGGGCGCCAUAGUCACGGUCGAACUGGGAGUAAAGAUCGGACUGUAAGGCGGGUUGACCUAUGUAUAGAACCAGGGCAAAGCCUAGGACUAAUGAUACGAGGUGGAGUCGAAUACAACUUAGGAAUUUUCAUUACGGGAGUAGAUAAGGAGUCCGUGGCAGAUAGGGCAGGACUUAUGGUGGGCGAUCAAAUAUUAGAAGUAAAUGGACAAUCUUUUAUGGACGUAACCCAUGAUGAGGCAGUAGCUCAGCUUAAAUAUCAUAAAAGGAUGUCGCUUGUAGUCAGAGAUGUUGGAAAAGUGCCUCAUUCUUGUACUGCAUACGAUAGGGAGUUUGACUUAUGUAGUCCAGGGAGUCGCUUGGCAGCCGCUUCCUGGGCUACCAGAAAAUGGGCAGCUGCUCUACAGGCAGUAGAAGAAAAAGCUCGAAUUUUACUAAACAGACCGGAAUUUGGCGCAUUAGUUUACUACACUGAUGAGUACGCUGCCAGACAUAUGACCGUAGAUGCCUUUGUACAGUGUAUGACUGAGUUACUUAAUACGCCUGAUAAGUAUACCCUUAUGACUGAACUUCGUGAAAUCGUGGCAUUGGAAGACCGACAGAAAUUCGACGAAUUGGUAUAUAGGAGAAACGAGGAAAUGCCAAGAAGCAGAGACCCUAGGGAACAUGAUUACCGGCAUUCGAGGAGGAAAGGUGCACCAAUUCCGGACCAGAAUCACACAUCUUACCAAGGAUUUCAUGAGGAGUACGGUCCUGGAGAUAUCCCGGUUUACAAUGACGAGAACAACUAUCGUUCUCCCAGUGAGGAUUCCGGGCUGGGGAUGGGGUUUUCCGAUAAGCAGAAUUCCAGAAUACGGCCGCCGAGCGGAUGCGGAAAAACCGUCGCGGAUCACAACCAGGACGGACAGCAGGAGUUUAUUGGAGAGGAGGAAGAACACGCGGUGGGUAGUAGAAGACAUUCUAGCCCUGGAGAGUCUCGCUCUGGAUCCACGACUCAAUUACAUCAACAGGAUUAUGCUGACUCGAAAACCUUGAACACCUUGACCAUGAAGUAUCGGAAAUGGGUAUAUGCCCCGCUGUGAACAAAAUUAAAGCUGUAGCUGAGUUUCCGAGACCCAAUAAUGUACGAGAUUUAACUUGAAUGAUGCAAAUAUACCAGAACGGUAUCCAGUUCGCGGAAUAUUUGAUCCAAGAUUAACCCAUUAGUGCCCACCGUCAUCAUUUGGUGACGCCAGAAAUUGGUGGGGAUGAGAGCGCCCGAGUAGGUUGGCGAUUGCCGACGGCUGUCUAACGCAAUAGAGCAAUGCUUACGCAAUAUUCUGCAGAUGGUAUUUACUAGUGUUUGUAUUUACUUGUCCGACGAAAAUCACGUUGUUUCUUAAAGAUUUUGACUAGAAAGACCUGCUAUAGGCCCAUAGGUCAUAUUUCCUUUAGUAGUAGGGGUAAGAUACUUUUUUUAGUGUGUUUUACAACCAAAAAGAUGUAGAAAUAUUGUAAAAAUAUUAUAAUAUUUCUAGUUGAAUUUUUUUAGCCGAAAACCUAACCUAAAUCUCUGUGUCCUCAAAUGAGGACACUGGGUUAUUACGUAUUUUUUUUUAAUUAUUUUUAACCAGGCAAAAAAUGAAUAGACAUAGUUUUAAGAACUUAGACGAUGCGGUGGAAUAUCUCUAUUCUAACCAAAUAGAUGUUGAUAUUGCGCUAUUACCUCCCGAGGUGGAUGAAUUGACGGACGUAGACGAUAUCGACGAUGGUGACUUAGGGGCGGUUGAUGUCCAGGACGUCCCAGGGGUUGUGGAGAUACAGGUAGAAGAACAAAAUGAUUGGGAAUCGGAAGAUGAUCGGAACCGCUGUCAAAUUUUAUAAAAAGGAAAAAGGUUGCAUGCAGCACUAAAUCCUGGACACCAAAAUGGACUAAGGAAGAACCCAUGUAUGAAAAUAUUGAACAAGAAAGUUGUGCCGAAGCUUUCCACAAAAUAAAAGAAGAAUUACAGGAAUUAACACCACUACAAAUAUUUGAGAAGUUUUUUGAUGACGAUCUUUAUAAUUUUCUUCAAACAGAGACCAUGAGAUACGCCCAACAGAAAAAUAAACGUGAUUUUUUUGAACUUCGGAGGACCUCAAAAUUUUUAUCGGGUUUUUGAUUUUUUCUGGCUAUCAUGCCUUACCAAGUGAAAGAGACUAUUGGUCUGAAAGAGAAGAUUUGGAUGUUCCUCUAGUGAAAAAUGGGUUUUCCACAAAUGCCUACAAAGAAAUAAAAUCUUGUCUUCACUUUGCUGACAAUUCCCUUGCAAAUGAUAACGAAGACGAUAAGUCAUUCAAAAUAGGGCCAUUAUUUGGGGUAAUAAAUACUAAAUUUCAGCAAUGGGGAGUAUUCCAUACAUUUCUAUCGAUUGAUGAGAUGAUUAUAAAAUAUUUUGGACACCAUGGCCUAAGGCAAUUUAUCAAAGAAGAGCCUAUACGGUUUUGAUACAAAUUAUGGGCGCUUUGUAGUGAUAAUGCGUAUUGCUACAACUUUGCUUUGUACUGUGGCAAGGAUAAUAAAUCAGCACAGCGAAGCCCAAGAUUCCUCUAGGGACAAGAGUCGUAACAAGUAUGCUGGAAACUGUAAAAAAUCCUGAAAGACACACUAUUUUCUUUGAGUUACAACCUCUUGUGUAGCCUAAAAGAAAAAGGCUUCCGAGCCACAGGAACCAUAAGGGAAAAUCGAUGUCAAUUUAACACAUGCCAAAGUAAACCCCGCACAUUUUGUUCGAAAUGUAAUGUCACUCUUUGUGUACCUUAUUGUUUUAACAAUUUUAAUUAAAAAAAAAAUUAGUUUUUUAAUUCAUGUUUCAUAAACACCUCUAAUUUUUUUAUCAGUACAUUGUUUUUUUUUAUAUUUCAAUAUGGGAUUACAUAUAUUAUAU
RNAcentral lists this unclassified non-coding RNA (4438 nucleotides) under Anthonomus grandis grandis. RNAcentral's name for it is "whirlin". Lineage: Eukaryota; Metazoa; Arthropoda; Insecta; Coleoptera; Curculionidae. The record is from RNAcentral.